GAUGAACGCUGGCGGCGUGCCUAAUACAUGCAAGUCGAGCGAACGGACGAGAAGCUUGCUUCUCUGAUGUUAGCGGCGGACGGGUGAGUAACACGUGGAUAACCUACCUAUAAGACUGGGAUAACUUCGGGAAACCGUAGCUAAUACCGGAUAAUAUUUUGAACCGCAUGGUUCAAAAGUGAAAGACGGUCUUGCUGUCACUUAUAGAUGGAUCCGCGCUGCAUUAGCUAGUUGGUAAGGUAACGGCUUACCAAGGCAACGAUGCAUAGCCGACCUGAGAGGGUGAUUGGCCACACUGGAACUGAGACACGGUCCAGACUCCUACGGGAGGCAGCAGUAGGGAAUCUUCCGCAAUGGGCGAAAGCCUGACGGAGCAACUCCGCGUGAGUGAUGAAGGUCUUCGGAUCGUAAAACUCUGUUAUUAGGGAAGAACAUAUGUGUAAGUAACUGUGCACAUCUUGACGGUACCUAAUCAGAAAGCCACGGCUAACUACGUG
RNAcentral lists this ribosomal RNA (497 nucleotides) under uncultured bacterium. RNAcentral's name for it is "partial 16S ribosomal RNA". It matches the Rfam family "Bacterial small subunit ribosomal RNA", at positions 28 to 507 of the family's 1533-position model. The record is from RNAcentral.